CACACCUGAGUGGAGACGAGCAUUCAGAUCAUUAACACAAGAAGAAGCCACAGGUAUUCCUGAGCUCUGAGAUCACACAUUUCUUGAGAGUAUCUUGUUUUAACCCUCCUGUUGUCCUCAUUUACAGGCACCAAAAAAUAUUGUUUCCUUGUCUGAAAAAAAUCCCAAAAUUCAGCAAGAAAUUCCCCAAAUUUCUGAAAAUUUUCAAAACCUUCAGGAAGAAAAUUCCAAUACUUCCUUAAAAGUUUCCCUUAAAAGUUUUAUUUCAAAAAUAAAAACAAAUUUGGCAAGAAAAUUCAAAAAAUGAGUAAAAAUCUUCCCCCAAAAAUGAAAAAAUAUCCAAAGUGAUUACAUGUAUAUCAGUAAAACUUCUGUUUUCUUCAAGAACAUUCAGAAAAAAAUCAAAACUGUGAUUUUUUCUGAAUGUUGUGAAAGAAACAUUUUUUUUAACGCUUCUUUUUUUCCACCAAAAACAUUUCUGAAAAAUGUUGAAAAUGUGCAAGUUUUCACUCUUGAAAAUCUAAUUUUUUUCCACAUUUUCAAACUUCAAAACGGGUCACUUUGACUUGCAGGACGACACGAGGGUUAAAUGUGCAGGAAAAACUGCGUUAUCUUUAAAAACUGAGCAAGUAUUUCAUUCUAACCCAAAGGUGACACAUUCAUCACCACUGUGUAUCAGUACUUGAACAUUUGCUGCUAGAAAGUCUUUUUUUUUUUCCAUCAGCAACAACCGCAAAUUUGGUCCAAAUGUCAGACUUUCUCUGUAAUAACCUGCUUUAAUCUUCUUUUCAGCUUUAUUUGUUGACUCUUUCUGCUUGGGGUAAAUGCAUUUUUGUGUCCAUUUGGGAUUUCAAACUGGACCAGAGAGCAAACAUGACAUUCUGUGUGGGUGGAGGAUCAUCGCUGGUGGUAACCAGUCAGUCUGCAGCUACAAACCAGAGCCCAAACAGCAGCUUUAACCAGUUUCCAGGACUGUAGGAGGAACAUCAGGCAUUUUCGCUGCACUGAGACACUGGAACAUCCACAUACCACCACGUCACAGUUCAGGCUGUUUGCACCGAAUGUUCAGACAUUUCAGGUCUUAACAGUCCAACCCUUGGAGAUGAAUUCUAGGUGUACAACCACGUGAAUGUUGAAGAAAACAACUCCUGGUAGCUGCACACCCACUUCCAGCUAUUAGCGACGAUCCUCCACGUGACAGUCGGAUCAUCAAGCUGCUGACUCACACAGAAUGUGAUGUUUGAAAUCCAUAAAGAAAUCGCAAAUGUGCACAUAGUGGUGGCCACAAAAACAUCUGGAAUAAUCUGGACAGUUUUAGAACCUUCUGAUCACACCACGUUAUUUAUCUGUGUUUUAUGCUUGUAAAGACAUAUAAGCUGUGUGUUCUGAUAGUCUGCAUGAUGUAAUAACAAAUAAUUUUACUACAAACGACGGCUCUAAAACCGUAAUCUACACUUUGUAAGAGAAUAUGUAUGUAGAGAAAAAAAUAAGAAGUAAACUGCUCUUGUUAACUCGGAUUGUUUUAAUUAACCCACCUGUUGUCCUCGUUUAUGGGCACCAGAAAAUAUUUUUUCUUGCCUAAAAAAAAUCCAAAAUUUCAGCAAAAAAAUUCCCCAAAUUUCUGUAAAUUUACAAAAACCUUCAGGAAGAAAAUUCCAAUAAUUCCUUAAAAGUUUCCCUUAAAAGUUUUAUUUUAAAAAAAAAUCCCCCACACUUCACAAGAAAAUUCUUGUAAAUAUUUUCAAAAAAUGAGUAAAAAUCUUCCAAAAAAAAAAAUCUUAAAAAUAUCUUAAGUGAUUCCAUAUAUAUCAGUAAAACUUCUAAUAUUUUCUUUAAGAACAUUCACAUAAAAAUCAAUAGAUUUUUAUGUGAAUGUUCUUAAGAAACAUUUUUAACAUUUCUUUUUUUCCACCAAAAAAUAUUCAAAGAUUUCCCAAAAAUGUUGAAAAUGUGGACAUCAGAAGUUUCACUGUGAAAAUAUUUUUUUUCUUUAAAUUUGCAAAACAUUCCGGAAGAAACUCCAAUAAUUCCUUAAAAGUUUCCCUUAACAGUUUUUGAAAAAAAAAAAAAAAAAUCAAUAAAUAAAAUCCUGCAAAUCUGGCAAGAAAAUUCUUGUAAAUAUUUUCAAAAAAUGAGUAAAAAUCUUCCAAAAAAAAUCCUACAAAUAUCUAAAGUACUAAAACUUCCAAUAUUUUCUUUAAGAACAUUCACAUAAAUAAUGAUUUUUUUUGUGGAUGUUCUUAAAGAAACAUUUUUAACAUUUCUUUUUUUCCACCAAAAAAUGUUCAAAGAUUUCCUAAAAAUGUUGAAAAUGUGAACAUCAGAAGUUUCACAGUGAAAAUAUAUAUUUUUUUUCCACAUUUUCAAACUUUAAAACAGGUCACAGUUUGACCCCCAGGACAACAGGAGGGUUCAGUAAUUAAACGCAUCCAUAAACACAUUAUGAACAAGUUUCCAUGGUUGGACUGAUGCUCUGAAAUCAAAGUUCUGCUAUAAUUUACACGAGUCUGAACAAGACUGCCUUUAGAGGAGGAUGUGAAACUGUAAAAUCAAUACAGAUAGCACAGCGAUAAACUUUACAGCCCAGACGUUUUCUUUUUAUGGCGCUCGUUACUCGGCGUCCCUGAAAGAAGACGCCCGCUCACCUCCCACUUGGUCUCCUCCAGCCGAGGCCCCAGCUGGAUCUUCUCGUGUUCGUAGGAGGUGCAGCGUUCCUCCAGCUGCUCCCUCUCCUUCAGAAGCUGAGCAAAGUCCUCCUGCAGCUUCUUCUUCUCCUGCUGGAGCUGGAAAACCUGCAGCCACGACGACACCACAAGUAGCAGUAAAAAUAGAAACUCACAGGAUAAGAGUCAACAAAAACCAGCACAGUGGAAUGUGAAAGUGAUCGUUAAAAAAUCCUCUCCUUCUUUCCACAAAAGGUUUCGCAUAUGGACAUGUAGAUUUCAUUUAAAUAGCUAAGCAGGACGCUACACACUUUCAAUUCUCAAUUUGGAAAACAAUAAAUCACCCAAAAAACCUGUUUAAUGCUCUUAAGUUAAAUGUUACCUGUGCAGAAAACUUUUAUGAUGAAAUUAAAGCAUUUGAACAUCUAAAUAAUAUAAUUCAGGAGGACGCCGACCAACUUUUGUCGUUUUGUGUCUCGUUUUUUGUCAUUUUGUGUCUCAUUUUUGUAAUAUUUUGUCUUAUUUUUGUUGUUUUUUUGUCCUUUUUUUCCUAACUUGUUGUUUUGUUUCUCAUUUUUGUCAUUUUGUGGUUCCUUUUUGUCUUGCUUAUGUUGUUUACUUUUCUGCUGUUUUGUUUCUUGCUUUUGUCAUUUUUGGUGUUGUUUUUGUAGUUUCUCCAUUUUUUUUGUCACUAACUUUUUUGUCUAAUUUUUUGUCUCUUUUGUUUCAUGUCAUUUGUCUAAUUUUUGGCACUUUGUGUUUCAUUUUGGUCAUAUUUUGUCUUAUUUUUGUUGUUUUUUCUGUCUGAUUUUGGUCGUGUUUCUCAUUUUUGUCGUUUUGUGUUUCCUUGUUGUCUUACUUGUGUUCUUUGUCUUAUUUUUGUCAUUUUGUUUUGCUUUAUUUGUUGUUUUGUGUAUCGUGUGUUGUUUUGUAUUUUUUUGUCUCUCCUGUGGUGUUUGUUUACUUUUUUGUUUUGCUUCUCGUUUUUGUCAUUUGUCACAUUUUUUUUUAUCAUUUUGUGUCUCAUUUUUGUAAUAUUUUGUCUUGUUUUUGUUGUCUUUUGUCUUUUUUGUCUGACUUUUGUCAUUUUGUUCAUAAAGUCAAAAACUGUAAGUAAAUGUUUUGCGCCUUUCUAGAAACUCUGCGAUCUCUAAAUUAAAAUGUGUAAAUGAAAUUUCACUUAUUUUUCUUAAUAAAUUUCAGGUUGUUCAUGAUGUUUUGUAAAAAGAUAAUUCCUUAAAUGUGAAUAUUUCAGAAUGUACUUUUUUUGCACUAAAACAAAGGAACCAUUAGGAGUUGUGGUUGUUUAUUAUGCUGUGAUUUUUCUGGUCCGGUCCACUUGAGAUCAAAUUGGGCUGAAUGUGGAACCUGAACUAAAAUGAGUUUGACAAGCAGGAAUUCAGCUUUCAUAACUAACUGUGUAGCUAAAUAGUGGCAGAUUGGGUGUUUUUUCAAGUCAUGUGUAUUUGAAAGUAGCACAAGUGUAAUUUGAUAAAGAACCCAUAAGCAGAAGCAAAAAUAAAAUUUUGAAAUGUGA
This is a long non-coding RNA of Amphiprion ocellaris (clown anemonefish), 4200 nucleotides long. RefSeq lists it as uncharacterized. The record is from RefSeq and is a predicted model, not a curated record. The transcript has 2 exons. Lineage: Eukaryota; Metazoa; Chordata; Actinopteri; Pomacentridae.